AAGAGUUGCUCAUGCUUCUCCGGCUCGUUUUUCAAACUCUUAUCUUCAAGUGGCCUCUCUGAGUUGUACUUUUAAAAAAUAAGUCA
RNAcentral lists this unclassified non-coding RNA (86 nucleotides) under soil metagenome. RNAcentral's name for it is "partial internal transcribed spacer 1". The record is from RNAcentral.